CGGCGGACGGGUGAGUAACACGUGGGUAACCUACCUAUAAGACUGGGACAACUUCGGGAAACCGGAGCUAAUACCGGAUAAGAUAUCGAACCGCAUGGUUCGAUAGUGAAAGAUGGUUUUGCUAUCACCUAUAGAUGGACCCGCGCCGUAUUAGCUAGUUGGUGAGGUAACGGCUCACCAAGGCAACGAUACGUAGCCGACCUGAGAGGGUGAUCGGCCACACUGGAACUGAGACACGGUCCAGACUCCUACGGGAGGCAGCAGUA
This 266-nucleotide ribosomal RNA is filed under the name uncultured Staphylococcus sp. Its description in RNAcentral is "partial 16S ribosomal RNA". It matches the Rfam family "Bacterial small subunit ribosomal RNA", at positions 96 to 355 of the family's 1533-position model. The record is from RNAcentral. Lineage: Bacteria; Bacillati; Bacillota; Bacilli; Caryophanales; Staphylococcaceae.